This 497-nucleotide ribosomal RNA is filed under the name uncultured bacterium. RNAcentral's name for it is "partial 16S ribosomal RNA". It matches the Rfam family "Bacterial small subunit ribosomal RNA", at positions 28 to 507 of the family's 1533-position model. The record is from RNAcentral.
GAUGAACGCUGGCGGCGUGCCUAAUACAUGCAAGUCGAGCGAACGGACGAGAAGCUUGCUUCUCUGAUGUUAGCGGCGGACGGGUGAGUAACACGUGGAUAACCUACCUAUAAGACUGGGAUAACUUCGGGAAACCGGAGCUAAUACCGGAUAAUAUUUUGAACCGCAUGGUUCAAAAGUGAAAGACGGUCUUGCUGUCACUUAUAGAUGGAUCCGCGCUGCAUUAGCUAGUUGGUAAGGUAACGGCUUACCAGGGCAACGAUGCAUAGCCGACCUGAGAGGGUGAUCGGCCACACUGGAACUGAGACACGGUCCAGACUCCUACGGGAGGCAGCAGUAGGGAAUCUUCCGCAAUGGGCGAAAGCCUGACGGAGCAACGCCGCGUGAGUGAUGAAGGUCUUCGGAUCGUAAAACUCUGUUAUUAGGGAAGAACAGAUGUGUAAGUAACUGUGCACAUCUUGACGGUACCUAAUCAGAAAGCCACGGCUAACUACGUG